AUACGUAGGGGGCGAGCGUUGUCCGGAAUGAUUGGGCGUAAAGGGCGCGUAGGCGGCCCGGUAAGUCUGGAGUGAAAGUCCUGUUUUUAAGAUGGGAAUUGCUUUGGAUACUGUCGGGCUUGAGUGCAGGAGAGGUAAGUGGAAUUGCCAGUGUAGCGGUGAAAUGCGUAGAGAUUGGGAGGAACACCAGUGGCGAAGGCGACUUACUGGACUGUAACUGACGCUGAGGCGCGAAAGUGUGGGGAGCAAACAGGAUUAGAUACCCUGGUAGUCCACACUGUAAACGAUGAAUGCUAGGUGUAGCGGGUAUCGACCCCUGCAGUGCCGGAGUAAACACAAUAAGCAUUCCGCCUGGGGAGUACGGCCGCAAGGUUGAAACUCAAAGGAAUUGACGGGG
RNAcentral lists this ribosomal RNA (397 nucleotides) under uncultured bacterium. Its description in RNAcentral is "partial 16S ribosomal RNA". It matches the Rfam family "Bacterial small subunit ribosomal RNA", at positions 523 to 918 of the family's 1533-position model. The record is from RNAcentral.